UCCUUGUCCUCCAGGAGCUCA
RNAcentral lists this microRNA (21 nucleotides) under Bos taurus (domestic cattle). Its description in RNAcentral is "microRNA miR-339". Lineage: Eukaryota; Metazoa; Chordata; Mammalia; Artiodactyla; Bovidae. The record is from RNAcentral.